This 510-nucleotide ribosomal RNA is filed under the name uncultured bacterium. Its description in RNAcentral is "partial 16S ribosomal RNA". It matches the Rfam family "Bacterial small subunit ribosomal RNA", at positions 28 to 507 of the family's 1533-position model. The record is from RNAcentral.
GACGAACGCUGGCGGCGUGCUUAACACAUGCAAGUCGAACGAAGAGCGAUGGACGCUUGCUUCUAUCAAUCUUAGUGGCGCACGGGUGAGUAACGCGUAAUCAACCUGCCCUUCAGAGGGGGACAACAGUUGGAAACGACUGCUAAUACCGCAUACGAUCUAAUCUCGGCAUCGAGGAUAGAUGAAAGGUGGCCUCUACAUGUAAGCUAUCACUGAAGGAUGGGAUUGCGUCUGAUUAGCUAGUUGGAGGGGUAACGGCCCACCAAGGCGAUGAUCAGUAGCCGGUCUGAGAGGAUGAACGGCCACAUUGGGACUGAGACACGGCCCAGACUCCUACGGGAGGCAGCAGUGGGGAAUCUUCCGCAAUGGACGAAAGUCUGACGGAGCAACGCCGCGUGAGUGAUGACGGCCUUCGGGUUGUAAAGCUCUGUUAAUCGGGACGAAAGGCCUUCUUGCGAAUAGUGAGAAGGAUUGACGGUACCGGAAUAGAAAGCCACGGCUAACUACGUG